RNAcentral lists this ribosomal RNA (529 nucleotides) under Bifidobacterium breve. RNAcentral's name for it is "bacterial SSU rRNA". It matches the Rfam family "Bacterial small subunit ribosomal RNA", at positions 159 to 698 of the family's 1533-position model. The record is from RNAcentral. Lineage: Bacteria; Bacillati; Actinomycetota; Actinomycetes; Bifidobacteriales; Bifidobacteriaceae.
GGUGGUAAUGCCGGAUGCUCCAUCACACCGCAUGGUGUGUUGGGAAAGCCUUUGCGGCAUGGGAUGGGGUCGCGUCCUAUCAGCUUGAUGGCGGGGUAACGGCCCACCAUGGCUUCGACGGGUAGCCGGCCUGAGAGGGCGACCGGCCACAUUGGGACUGAGAUACGGCCCAGACUCCUACGGGAGGCAGCAGUGGGGAAUAUUGCACAAUGGGCGCAAGCCUGAUGCAGCGACGCCGCGUGAGGGAUGGAGGCCUUCGGGUUGUAAACCUCUUUUGUUAGGGAGCAAGGCAUUUUGUGUUGAGUGUACCUUUCGAAUAAGCACCGGCUAACUACGUGCCAGCAGCCGCGGUAAUACGUAGGGUGCAAGCGUUAUCCGGAAUUAUUGGGCGUAAAGGGCUCGUAGGCGGUUCGUCGCGUCCGGUGUGAAAGUCCAUCGCUUAACGGUGGAUCCGCGCCGGGUACGGGCGGGCUUGAGUGCGGUAGGGGAGACUGGAAUUCCCGGUGUAACGGUGGAAUGUGUAGAUAUC